GAGUUUGAACCUGGCUCAGGAUGAACGCUGGCGGCGUGCCUAACGCAUGCAAGUCGAACGAAGCGCUAUUUCGGAAGCUUUUCGGAGUGAAAGAGAAAGUGACUGAGUGGCGGACGGGUGAGUAACGCGUGGGCAACCUACCCCACACAGGGGGACAACAGCUGGAAACGGCUGCUAAUACCGCAUAGGCGCACAGCUUCGCAUGAAGGAGUGUGGAAAGCAAUAGCGGUGUGGGAUGGGCCCGCGUCUGAUUAGCUAGUUGGUGAGGCAGAGGCUCACCAAGGCGACGAUCAGUAGCCGGCCUGAGAGGGCGGACGGCCACAUUGGGACUGAGACACGGCCCAGACUCCUACGGGAGGCAGCAGUGGGGGAUAUUGCACAAUGGGGGAAACCCUGAUGCAGCGACGCCGCGUGAGCGAAGAAGUAUUUCGGUAUGUAAAGCUCUAUCAGCAGGGAAGAAAAUGACGGUACCUGAGUAAGAAGCCCCGGC
This 490-nucleotide ribosomal RNA is filed under the name uncultured bacterium. RNAcentral describes it as "bacterial SSU rRNA". It matches the Rfam family "Bacterial small subunit ribosomal RNA", at positions 9 to 497 of the family's 1533-position model. The record is from RNAcentral.